UACAGAGGUGGCAAGCGUUGUUCGGAAUUACUGGGCGUAAAGGGCGCGUAGGCGGCCAUCUAAGUCAGACGUGAAAUCCCCCGGCUUAACCUGGGAACUGCGUCUGAUACUGGACGGCUUGAGUGCGGGAGAGGGAUGUGGAAUUCCCCAAGUAGAGGUGAAAUUCGUAGAUAUUCGGAAGAACACCAGUGGCGAAGGCGGCUCACUGGUCCGGUACUGACGCUGAUGUGCGAAAGCGUGGGGAGCAAACAGG
RNAcentral lists this ribosomal RNA (253 nucleotides) under uncultured bacterium. RNAcentral's name for it is "partial 16S ribosomal RNA". It matches the Rfam family "Bacterial small subunit ribosomal RNA", at positions 524 to 776 of the family's 1533-position model. The record is from RNAcentral.